This 465-nucleotide ribosomal RNA is filed under the name uncultured bacterium. RNAcentral describes it as "partial 16S ribosomal RNA". It matches the Rfam family "Bacterial small subunit ribosomal RNA", at positions 339 to 795 of the family's 1533-position model. The record is from RNAcentral.
CUACGGGUUGCAGCAGUGGGGAAUAUUGGACAAUGGGGGAAACCCUGAUCCAGCAAUGCCGCGUGUGUGAAGAAGGCCUGCGGGUUGUAAAGCACUUUCGGUUGGGAGGACUGCUUCUAGCACUAAUAUUGUUGGAAGUUGACGUUACCUUCAGAAGAAGCACCGGCUAACUCCGUGCCAGCAGCCGCGGUAAUACGGAGGGUGCAAGCGGUAAUCGGAAUUACUGGGCGUAAAGCGCGCGUAGGCGGCUAGAUCAGUCGGGGGUGAAAGCCCCGGGCUUAACCUGGGAACUGCAUCCGAUACUGUCUAGCUUGAGUACAGGAGAGGAGAGUGGAAUUCCACAUGUAGCGGUGAAAUGCGUAGAUAUGUGGAGGAACACCAAUGGCGAAGGCAGCUCUCUGGCCUGAUACUGACGCUGAGGUGCGAAAGCGUGGGGAGCAAACAGGAUUAGAUACCCGGGUAGUC